Molecule: long non-coding RNA, 709 nt
Organism: Hordeum vulgare subsp. vulgare (domesticated barley)
Lineage: Eukaryota; Viridiplantae; Streptophyta; Magnoliopsida; Poales; Poaceae
Exons: 2
Source: RefSeq, a predicted model, not a curated record
AGCGCUGCUGGCCACGGCGAUGGGCGACCAGGCGGACCGCGCGGGGCGCAGGGCACGUCCGGUUGGCCAACGCGUCAUAAAUGGCUGUGGCCAUUUCAGCGGCUGCGCUGCAGGGAUGAUGGCGGGCGGCACUGUCGCUAGAAUGGAAAAUAGGAAAUAAAAUGGUACUGCUACUUCCCUGGAGCAGUCGAUGCAUCCAUGCUGAUGCUGCUUGCGCUGCAAUGGCGAAGACAAAAGAGGACGACUCCAACAUCAUACCCAGCCAUCGAUGCAGAACUGCGCUUGCUCGCGGGCGGCGGUGUCUAUGGCCGUUGUUGGGUACCACAGACGCGAGACCCGCUCGUAGGAGAGGCCUUACCGUGGCUAGCGAUGGGUCCGACAACAUCGCUGUGGAGGGCUGGCCAAGGGUGUGGCCUCGACCGCCGCCGAUCUAUGCCCAUGCGAGACAAGGGCAAUGAUUGCUCUUCGGGACGUCGCCGCCGCGUCGCUUUGUGAGGCCGAUGGAAUCGCUCAUCCGAGAGCGUGCUGAUAACGUGUUAAAAGUACAAGAAGAGAGGAAGAGCAAAUGAUCAAAAUCGUUGUCUCAUUGAUUGAAGAUGUGGGUAUAUAUACCCCAGUACAAAGACGGUUACAAGGAGCAGCUGUUAAAUUAAAGUAACCGACAUAGCAGGGAUUAUCCCUUAAUUAAAUAUAUUUAUUUAAUUUCUAA